CUGUUCGCAACAUUGUCUAUAGUUGCAGAACUACAACUGCGGAGUGUGGGGUGUGUAGAUGAGGUAGAAUAAAUCAAUUUUGGUAGAAAUGGCUAAAAGACAGCAAUCACCAGAAUUCUUCCCGCUUUGGAGACGCUAGGUGAAGUGUCCAAUGGCCCUCUCUGACUUGUUUGACAUCCAGGGAGGAGGCUGGGAUGUGGGCUCACGGCUGUUCAGAAGGCUGGCAGGCUUACAGACAACACCCUUACCCCCCAGUCAGGGGCUC
Molecule: long non-coding RNA, 265 nt
Filed under: Bos taurus (domestic cattle)
Lineage: Eukaryota; Metazoa; Chordata; Mammalia; Artiodactyla; Bovidae
Description: long non-coding RNA NONBTAT013708
Source: RNAcentral